RNAcentral lists this ribosomal RNA (429 nucleotides) under Chloroflexota bacterium. RNAcentral describes it as "Chloroflexi bacterium partial 16S ribosomal RNA". It matches the Rfam family "Bacterial small subunit ribosomal RNA", at positions 355 to 776 of the family's 1533-position model. The record is from RNAcentral. Lineage: Bacteria; Bacillati; Chloroflexota.
UGGGGAAUAUUGCACAAUGGGCGCAAGCCUGAUGCAGCCAUGCCGCGUGUGUGAAGAAGGCCUUCGGGUUGUAAAGCACUUUCAGCGGGGAGGAAGGCGUUAAGGUUAAUAACCUUGGCGAUUGACGUUACCCGCAGAAGAAGCACCGGCUAACUCCGUGCCAGCAGCCGCGGUAAUACGGAGGGUGCAAGCGUUAAUCGGAAUUACUGGGCGUAAAGCGCACGCAGGCGGUUUGUUAAGUCAGAUGUGAAAUCCUCGGGCUCAACCUGGGAACUGCAUCUGAUACUGGCAAGCUUGGGUCUCGUAGAGGGGGGUGGAAUUCCAGGUGUAGCGGUGAAAUGCGUAGAGAUCUGGAGGAAUACCGGUGGCGAAGGCGGCCCCCUGGACGAAGACUGACGCUCAGGUGCGAAAGCGUGGGGAGCAAACAGG